GUUUGAUCCUGGCUCAGAACGAACGCUGGCGGCGUGCUUAACACAUGCAAGUCGAACGAGAACGGUUUUCUUCGGAGGACCUAUUAAAGUGGCGCACGGGUGAGUAACACGUAGAUAAUCUACCCAGGUGUCUGGGAUAACUGACCGAAAGGUUAGCUAAUACCGGAUACGUUCACGAUUUCGCAAGAUAACGUGAAGAAAGAUGGCCUCUUCUUGGAAGCUAUCGCAUUUGGAUGAGUUUGCGUACCAUUAGCUAGUUGGUGGGGUAAGAGCCUACCAAGGCUACGAUGGUUAGCGGGUCUGAGAGGAUGAUCCGCCACACUGGAACUGGAACACGGACCAGACUCCUACGGGAGGCAGCAGUGAGGAAUUUUGCGCAAUGGGGGAAACCCUGACGCAGCGACGCCGCGUGGACGAUGAAGGCCUUAGGGUUGUAAAGUCCUGUCAGUAGGGAAGAAGUGUGCAUGUUCUAAUACAACAUGCAUUUGACGGUACCUACAAAGGAAGCACCGGCUAACUCCGUGCCAGCAGCCGCGGUAAUACGGAGGGUGCAAGCGUUGUUCGGAAUUACUGGGCGUAAAGGGCGCGUAGGCGGCCUGAUAAGUCAGAUGUGAAAGCCCACGGCUCAACCGUGGAAGGGCAUCUGAAACUAUCAAGCUUGAGUAUGGGAGAGGAAAGUGGAAUUCCCGGUGUAGAGGUGAAAUUCGUAGAUAUCGGGAGGAACACCAGUGGCGAAAGCGACUUUCUGGACCAAUACUGACGC
Molecule: ribosomal RNA, 763 nt
Filed under: uncultured bacterium
Lineage: Bacteria
Description: bacterial SSU rRNA
Rfam family: Bacterial small subunit ribosomal RNA
Source: RNAcentral